UACGGAAGGCAGCAGUGGGGAAUAUUGCACAAUGGGCGCAAGCCUGAUGCAGCCAUGCCGCGUGUAUGAAGAAGGCCUUCGGGUUGUAAAGUACUUUCAGUCGUGAGGAAGUGUUAAGGUUAAUAACCUUAGCAAUUGACGUUAGCGACAGAAGAAGCACCGGCUAACUCCGUGCCAGCAGCCGCGGUAAUACGGAGGGUGCGAGCGUUAAUCGGAAUUACUGGGCGUAAAGGGCACGCAGGCGGUUAAUUAAGUUGGAUGUGAAAUCCCCGGGCUUAACCUGGGAAUGGCAUUCAAGACUGGUUAGCUAGAGUCUUGUAGAGGGGGUAGAAUUCCAUGUGUAGCGGUGAAAUGCGUAGAGAUGUGGAGGAAUACCGGUGGGCGAAGGCGGCCCCUGGGACAAAAGACUGACGCUCAUGUGCGAAAGCGUGGGGAGCGAAACAGGGAUUAGAUACC
Molecule: ribosomal RNA, 456 nt
Filed under: uncultured bacterium
Lineage: Bacteria
Description: bacterial SSU rRNA
Rfam family: Bacterial small subunit ribosomal RNA
Source: RNAcentral